Molecule: non-coding RNA, 69 nt
Organism: Rattus norvegicus (Norway rat)
Lineage: Eukaryota; Metazoa; Chordata; Mammalia; Rodentia; Muridae
Source: Rfam
GGGGAUUUAGCUCAGUGGUAGAGCACUUGCUUAGCAAGCGCAAGGCCCUGGGUUCGGUCCCCAGCUCCG